CGCCGCGUGAGGGAUGACGGCCUUCGGGUUGUAAACCUCUUUCAGCAGGGAAGAAGCGAGAGUGACGGUACCUGCAGAAGAAGCGCCGGCUAACUACGUGCCAGCAGCCGCGGUAAUACGUAGGGCGCAAGCGUUGUCCGGAAUUAUUGGGCGUAAAGAGCUCGUAGGCGGCUUGUCGCGUCGGUUGUGAAAGCCCGGGGCUUUAACCCCGGGUCNUGCAGUCGAUACGGGCAGGCUAGAGUUUCGGUAGGGGAGAAUCGGAAUUCCUGGUGUAGCGGUGAAAUGCGCAGAAUAUCAGGAGGAACACCGGUGGCGAAGGCGGAUCUUCUGGGCCCGAUACUUGACGCUUGAGGAGCGAAAGCGUGGGGAGCGAACAGGACUUAGAAUACCCUUGGUAGUCCAAGGG
RNAcentral lists this ribosomal RNA (406 nucleotides) under uncultured bacterium. Its description in RNAcentral is "bacterial SSU rRNA". It matches the Rfam family "Bacterial small subunit ribosomal RNA", at positions 395 to 801 of the family's 1533-position model. The record is from RNAcentral.